RNAcentral lists this long non-coding RNA (4808 nucleotides) under Sorghum bicolor (sorghum). RNAcentral's name for it is "long non-coding RNA (SBIC_LNC014615)". Lineage: Eukaryota; Viridiplantae; Streptophyta; Magnoliopsida; Poales; Poaceae. The record is from RNAcentral.
GCCCUUGUCGUUACUUGUAUAUUCCUUCAGUUAUGUGUUGUCUGCUAAUGAUUUGCUUGGAUAAAAUAAUCAGUAGAGCUAAAGGUCCAAGCACAAAUUAGACAGAGAACAAAUAAUGACAAAGGAAAGGAGUACGACAAUGGAGAUAAUCUUUCCAUGAACAAGACUCGUUACUUGCCAGGCAAGGAAAGUUUCCACAAGAUGUUAUGGCUUCAACAUGCUUCAACACUAUAGGACACAUCUUGAGCAAGGUUAAGGAAUCUUCCCCAAUUCCUACAAGAGAAGAUUCUAGACCUAUGAACAUGCACACUGAGCAAAAAUGUUGCAAGCUCCUACAACUAGUACUGCACACUUCAAACUGCUGGAAGAGUAGUGAACACGGGUGACACCAUCUCAAGAUGUGCAACUAUCACGGUCUCCAUCUUUGUGGCCAGGUAAAGCACCUAAAGAAUUAACAUGGUAAGAGGUCUGGUUCAGAGGACCUAAAACAACGAAUACCAUACCAAGAGGUAAAUUGGUAGUUAUCAAUAUUUUCUUUUUAGCAUUGCAUAAUUUUCCUUCAGCAUAUUUACUUUCCCUUAAAUGCAUGAUUAGUUGCACAUCCACAUUAUCAUUUUUGUAUUAGAAAAAGAAAAUAAAAAUAUGUCAUGCAUUGCAUCUAGAAAAUGCCAAGCCCCAUGUGAAUAAUUAUGUGGUGCGACAACCCACAAAGAUAUCUAUGGUGGUAGCCUAAAAAUAAGUUUUCAUCUUAGUGCAUUUUCAGCAUACCAUGAAAUAUAAAAGAUCAAAAGUAUUAAAGUUCCUGCUAAAAGAUAAAUAUAUUAAGAAGGUUCUAGACAACCAAGGCUUAGAGGUUAUACCACUAACACUAAAUUAGUUCCACAAGCUUUGCUGUCUAUUUGAGCUUCACAUAAUUUGAAGGAUCAAGAACAGCUAAGAGGCAGAAGGACAUUCUAUCCCCUAUCAGAGUGCUGUCUCAAACAACCAUCAUCCCUAAGACUCCAGAGGACCAGUACACCUUCACUGCAACUCAGCAACGCCAACGGACUUUGUCAACAUCCACUUGGGGGAGAGCACCCCCCAUAUCCAGGUAAGUACUACUAGCUUUUUUUUUAUUUAGUGUGCUAUGUUCAUCCGAAACAAAUAAAAAGAUGCAUAAACAUAGAAAACCCAAAUAAAUAUUUCCUUAUCUAUAUUUACCUUAUUGGUUGAUAUUAAAUUUGCUAAAUAAAAUUUAGGAGAGUAUUUGAAGAAGUUGCCUAGUAAAAUAAACCUUACAGAGUAAGCCCAUAUAUGGAAAUGAUGAAUAGUAGCUCUACCGUAAUUCCUUUCAAGUACCUAGUUUUCAACCUCGAACUAUCCCAAGUACGCUCGAACUUAUCUAUAUUUACAACUGUUUUGAUUUGAGGUCUGCUCUGAACCUGAAACUUGUGGGUAGCAAAUGCUUGAUCUAAGUCUAGGUAGUUGACAGAUAUGAUAUAGGGAGGUUUUGAGUUGCCGUCCAUCUUGUUCCUAGAGAUACUAGCGUUCUAGAGAAUUUACCUUUGAAAAUCUUGAAUCACUACAUGAUGAGUUUUUGUAUGAUGAGAGUUCAAUAUUCGUAGCACAUCCAAAUAUACAUGCUUACUAGAUUAGGAAAGCCAUCCACUUCCAUAUAUGCUUGUAGGCAUUGCGGAAGUUAAGCUGUGUUGACCCAAAGGAAUAAGUCAUGCAGUUAAUGUCAAUAUUGUGUGCUCUCCAUCCAUUGAUCUAUGCUGCUUCUAUCCUCAAAAGUACGCCCCCAUUCAUGUUGUGCUACUUCUAUUCCUAGAAGUACCACCCAUAUAUAUACAUAUUCCAUGCAUAUUGUGUUGUUUUUACCCUGGAAACACACACCUAUGCUGCUCCCACCUUGAGAGUACGCAUUGCUCUAUUCACAUGCAUAUACUCACAAAAUGUUCUGCUCCUACACUGGGUGUGAACACCAAAAAUAUAUGUCACCAUGCUAUUCUUUUUCCAUCAUCCAAUAAAGCUCCAAUUACUUCAGUUAAUACUCCCUACUGAUACAUAAAUCAAGUGGCUUGGGUAUUCUUAAAAAAAAGAAGAGAGGACAAAUGUCCCAAGAAAGAAAAAAAAUGAUGAAUAAGCAGCCCAAGUACUCCCCAAAGUUUCUAGAGUUUAGAUAAGGGAGGUAUAUAUCCCCAAGGAGCAAAUGUAGAAUUACAUCUCUACUAUUGGCCCUCAUAAUCAUUUCCUCCUCAUCAUCACCAUUCAUAUCACUUAAUUUAUUCCCCUCAUCCACAUGCACAUAUGAAUUGAUUGUAUAACUAAUUUCUCUAGAUCCAUGUCACACCCGGUUUUAAAGAACAAAACCAGGCUAGCCAUAUGUGUGCCCAGGAAGUCCACACAUAAAACAACAGAAAGGAAUAGUAUCAGAAACAAUGUUAUAUAGCGAAAACAUACUUAUAAUUAACACUUACAUCAGAGAAUCGCGAAACGGUAACUAAUCUUUAGGAUCAAUCUUCACAGGGACGGCUGACUGGGGGUAACAUAUGCCUAGUACUUCUUCUAUUCUGAGAACAUCCUUCAUGAUUCCAUCGCUCUUCUGAUCAACUCUUACUAGUAAACUGGAGUGGUGGGAAAUAGCAAGAGUGAGCACAUGUCGUACUCAACAAGUAUAACCAGGGGUUCAUGAGGCUCAAACAGGUGACACUGGUUUGACUGCAUUUAGCUUUUAAUAGUGGAUAGCAUAUUCUUAAUUAAAUAGCAAAUGUCAAGGUAGCACAAAUAAUCCAUUAAUCCCAUGAUCAAGUGUAAGCAUAAUUAAUCCAUAGCAUAAACGAUAAUCAAAUAAACAUAACAACUUAAUAAGCUCAUCGUCGGCGCAGCAAGAACCCCCAAGGCCGCUCAUAACCGUGAGCACGGCUAGUAUACCAGUUUUACACUCUGCAGAGGUUGUACAUCUUUACCCAUGAGUCAUGAUUUACCCUUUCGCCCGAGGUGAUCAGCCUCUUAACCCACUUCCAAGGAAGGUCGGCAGGGAUCACUAUGAAGCCUUUCAAAAGUUCGUCUAACAUGUUAGGGCCGCAAGGUUUCCUUUGCGCGCAGAUAUAGAUACCCCCCUUCCGAAUGGCACAAUGACGCGCAGCCUAUACACGUAGGGACAGGGGUUCGCACUAUACCCAAAACGUUUCAGCCCCUCCACCCUUUCGGGUAACCUCUAACAAGCUAGAAAAGGUCUUCAUACUGAGCUAAAGCCAGAGCCAUUAUAGGCCUCAUGGUGGCACUGUUGUUCCGGUGAUCACUUACAGACAAGAUCUUAUAUAGUUAUUUGUCAUCAUUUAACGUUCAUUGCAUAGCUAUUAAUUAUCUUACAAGAUCAUGGAUUAUAUCAAGCACUAGCAUAUCUACAACCAAUGCAUAUCAAGUAGGUAACAAGGAAUACAGGUAACAAUCAUCUAUGAUUUUGCUAAGAUCGACAAGGUGAUAGCAUGCAUAUGAUAUAUAUGUAUUUAUAAGUGAAUAGGUAGCAAGGAUGAUCCCAAGUUAUACUUGCCUUAAACUUGCUCAAUUCUCACACCAUGAGCCUUCAGUCAUCAUCUUCUGAUCAUCAGCACCCAUAAACAGUUCUCGUCUACUCGUAGCAAGCACCACACAUAGACAAACAUACAAGCAACAAACAAAAAUAACUAAGAACAGUACACCGCACAAGUUUAAGCAACAUACUAUAUGAGAGCUUAUUUAUGAGUAUAUUAUAUGUAGCGUAUUUAAAUUAAUUAUAUUAUAAUUAGAAAUAUAUAAGUUAAUAUUAAUCAAAUUAAUAUUUAUUUAUAAAAAUACGAUGUUUACUUUCAUUGCUUUUAACUAUAAAAUUGGUUACAUAGAUAUUAAUUAAUUUAAUGUUUAGCUAUAUAUAGAAGACAUAUAGAAGACAUGAAGCAAGUUAAAUAUCGUUGCCAUACAUUAGGGUAUAUUGAUUCAGACGCGACGCACAAAGAAUAUAUUGAUUGAAGUGUGGCUAAACGAUUAAGUUAUGAUGAAAAUAAGACAACGACAAUGUUCAUCAUAUUUAACUAUACGGAGAUUCAAGGCAUCCUGAGCAGAUCCACGAUAUAUAUGAAAGAUAUAAUUUCAAGAUUGAGGAAUAAAUAGAGAAUAAUGAUUUAUGAUGUAUGAAUGACAAGGCAUGACAUCAGCACAAUAUUUGAUCAAUAAAAAUAGCGGACAGGAAGAUAUGCUUCUCACCUGAAAGCUAGCGCCAGCAAUUUCCAAACAAGCUGCUCGUCAAACAUCAAGAAGGGUGGUGGCCAGCAUAAGCUAGUAUUAAGCAGCCAAGGAGAAGAUGUUUAUAUUAGUUUCAAUUCCAAGGGCAAAGAAGUACACCCACGGUGAAGAACUGACGACUUACCCCUGCAAGAUUCAGAGCGGAGCAGAACACACACGGCAUGGAUGGCCAGACGCUGGAGCGGCUCUACAACACUAAGCUCGGAGGAUCGGUUAUGCCUGCGAUGAGGUUGCAACAUCACGCAAGCUCCCCUAUGGAAACACCAUGGAUCAGAGAAUUUGCGAGAGGACGACACGGAGAGAGCGAGAUUGUGUUGCUGCAGCAAGCUUCAUGUUCGGCAACGAUAGAACACGAAGGCAGGAAUACAGGAUCGAACAACAAUACAAGAUCACUUGGAACUAGACAAGCCUCACCUCUCCAGCAAAGAACGACAGCACAUGACUUGCUCAUGGCACUCAAUCGAUUUCUCCAUACUUUGAUCGGCGUCGACUUUUCAAUGUCACAGGAACGAAGGGCAGAUGCGCCGGGGACAGGAGAAUUUUGG